Molecule: non-coding RNA, 933 nt
Filed under: Vitreorana uranoscopa (Humboldt's glass frog)
Lineage: Eukaryota; Metazoa; Chordata; Amphibia; Anura; Centrolenidae
Description: partial 12S ribosomal RNA
Rfam family: Bacterial small subunit ribosomal RNA
Source: RNAcentral
GUCCUUUAGACACAAAGGUUUGGUCCUAGCCUUGACAUCAAUUAUUACUUAAUAUACACAUGCAAGUCUCCGCAUCCCUGUGAAAACGCCCUUAAAUCCCCAUUAGGGAUAAGGAGCUGGUAUCAGGCACUAUAAUUUGCCCAAGACACCUAGCUAUGCCACAUCCACAAGGGAUCUCAGCAGUGAUUAACAUUGAACAUAAGCGACAGCUUGAUUCAGUUAAAGUAAAAUAGAGCCGGCAAAUCUGGUGCCAGCCGCCGCGGUUACACCACGUGGCUCAAAUUGAUAACUAUCGGCGUAAAGCGUGAUUAAAGUUCAACCACUAUUAGAGUUAAACUAAGACUAAGCUGUGACACGCUUGUGCUUAAGAAACCCAAAAACGAAAGUUACUCCAACUUAACCAACUUGAACUCACGACAGCUAAGACACAAACUGGGAUUAGAUACCCCACUAUGCCUAGCCGUAAACUUUAAAUUACACCCACAUCGCCAGGGAACUACGAGCAAAGCUUAAAACCCAAAGGACUUGACGGUACCCCAUAUCCACCUAGAGGAGCCUGUCCUACAAUCGAUACCCCCCGCUAAACCUCACCACUUUUAGUCUACUCAGCCUGUAUACCUCCGUCGUCAGCUUACCACGUGAGCGCAACUUAGUGAGCUUAAUGCCCAUGCGCCAAUACGUCAGGUCAAGGUGCAGCAAAUGAAGUGGGAAGAGAUGGGCUACACUCUCUAAUAUAGAAAAAACGGAAGAUUAUCUAUGAAACCUAAUCUAAAGGCGGAUUUAGAAGUAAAAAGAAAAAAGAAUGUCCUUUUUAACCCGGCACUGGGGUGUGUACACACCGCCCGUCACCCUCUUCAUAGCCACCAAAAAGUAAAUAACCUAUUAAUGCAACACAGAAGAGGCAAGUCGUAACAUGGUAAGUAUACCGGAAGG